This 795-nucleotide ribosomal RNA is filed under the name uncultured archaeon. RNAcentral describes it as "bacterial SSU rRNA". It matches the Rfam family "Archaeal small subunit ribosomal RNA", at positions 85 to 879 of the family's 1478-position model. The record is from RNAcentral.
ACUGCUCAGUAACACGUGGAUAACCUGCCCCAAGGGGUCCGGGAUAACCCCGGGAAAACUGGGGAUAAUACCGGAUGGAUCACUAGUGCUGGGAAUGCUUGGUGGUCGAAAGGUGACGCCCUUGGAUGGGUCUGCGGCGGAUUAGGUUGACGCCGGUGUAACGUACCGGCGUGCCUGUAAUCCGUACGGGUUGUGGGAGCAAGAGCCCGGAGAUGGAUUCUGAGACACGAAUCCAGGCCCUACGGGGCGCAGCAGGCGCGAAAACUCUACAAUGCAGGCAACUGCGAUAGGGGGACAUCGAGUGGCAUCCACCUUGGGUGCCUGUCCAACCGUCUAAAAAACGGUUGUUAGCAAGGGCCGGGUAAGACCGGUGCCAGCCGCCGCGGUAAUACCGGCGGCUCGAGUGGUGGCCGAUAUUAUUGAGUCUAAAGGGUCCGUAGCCGGCUUUGCAAGUCCCCUGGGAAAUCCAGCGGCUUAACCGUUGGGCUUUCAUGGGAUACUACAUUGCUUGGGACUGGGAGAGGUAGGAGGUACUCGGGGGGUAGGGGUGAAAUCCUGUAAUCCUCCGGGGACCACCGGUGGCGAAGGCGUCCUACCAGAACAGGUCCGACGGUGAGGGACGAAAGCUAGGGGCACGAACCGGAUUAGAUACCCGGGUAGUCCUAGCCGUAAACGAUGCCCGCUAGGUGUCACGACGGUCGUGAAUCGUCGUGGUGCCGUAGGGAAGCCGCGAAGCGGGCCACUUGGGAAGUACGACCGCAAGGUUGAAACUUAAAGGAAUUGGCGGGGGAGCAC